AGUGAACGCUGGCGGUAGGCCUAACACAUGCAAGUCGAACGGCAGCACAGUAAGAGCUUGCUCUUACGGGUGGCGAGUGGCGGACGGGUGAGGAAUACAUCGGAAUCUACUUUUUCGUGGGGGAUAACGUAGGGAAACUUACGCUCAUACCGCAUACGACCUACGGGUGAAAGCAGGGGAUCUUCUGACCUUGCGCGAUUGAAUGAGCCGAUGUCGGAUUAGCUAGUUGGCGGGGUAAAGGCCCACCAAGGCGACGAUCCGUAGCUGGUCUGAGAGGAUGAUCAGCCACACUGGAACUGAGACACGGUCCAGACUCCUACGGGAGGCAGCAGUGGGGAAUAUUGGACAAUGGGCGAAAGCCUGAUCCAGCCAUGCCGCGUGGGUGAAGAAGGCCUUCGGGUUGUAAAGCCCUUUUGUUGGGAAAGAAAAGCAGCAGGUUAAUACCCCGCUGUUCUGACGGUACCCAAAGAAUAAGCACCGGCUAACUUCGUG
RNAcentral lists this ribosomal RNA (492 nucleotides) under uncultured bacterium. RNAcentral describes it as "partial 16S ribosomal RNA". It matches the Rfam family "Bacterial small subunit ribosomal RNA", at positions 29 to 507 of the family's 1533-position model. The record is from RNAcentral.